UCGAACGGCAGCACGGGAGCAAUCCUGGGUGGCGAGUGGCGAACGGGUGAGUAAUACAUCGGAACGUGCCCAGUAGUGGGGGAUAGCCCGGCGAAAGCCGGAUUAAUACCGCAUACGACCUAAGGGUGAAAGCGGGGGAUCGCAAGACCUCGCGCUAUUGGAGCGGCCGAUGGCAGAUUAGGUAGUUGGUGGGGUAAAGGCCUACCAAGCCUGCGAUCUGUAGCUGGUCUGAGAGGACGACCAGCCACACUGGGACUGAGACACGGCCCAGACUCCUACGGGAGGCAGCAGUGGGGAAUUUUGGACAAUGGGCGCAAGCCUGAUCCAGCCAUGCCGCGUGCGGGAAGAAGGCCUUCGGGUUGUAAACCGCUUUUGUCAGGGAAGAAACGCUCCGGGCCAAUACCCUGGAGUAAUGACGGUACCUGAAGAAUAAGCACCGGCUAACUACGUGCCAGCAGCCGCGGUAAUACGUAGGGUGCGAGCGUUAAUCGGAAUUACUGGGCGUAAAGCGUGCGCAGGCGGUCAUGCAAGACAGAUGUGAAAUCCCCGGGCUUAACCUGGGAACUGCAUUUGUGACUGCAUGGCUUGAGUGCGG
Molecule: ribosomal RNA, 595 nt
Filed under: uncultured bacterium
Lineage: Bacteria
Description: bacterial SSU rRNA
Rfam family: Bacterial small subunit ribosomal RNA
Source: RNAcentral